UAUAGCUCCAGAUACAAUAUAAUAAAUAUUUGUAGAAACAUUUAUUGAACUUGUAAAGUGUCAUAUUAUAAGCACGUGAGGACGAGCUCAAUAUUUGUCCCUCCCAUCGUGCUGUCGUCAUCAGUGACACAGCACAGUUAAGCGCGCGGACUUUGUGUCAUUUGUACAUUUGGUUCACGGCGGUUCUUUGGAUUCAUAACUAGCGUUACUUUUUUUGUAAACAGAAAUUAUGUUCUUCAUCCUAAACAGACAAAGGAAAUCGGUCAUCAUGUGUAAUCAAGCUGGUAGAACUUAUAUUCUUUAACCCGCUGAGUGACAUUAGACACAAUCUGUGACGUGAAGUUUGAGUUGCUGCGGCCACUGCUUCUUAUCCAGAAACAUCUGCGUGUU
Long non-coding RNA from Cyprinus carpio (common carp), 390 nucleotides. RefSeq lists it as uncharacterized. The transcript is spliced from 2 exons. The record is from RefSeq and is a predicted model, not a curated record. NCBI's taxonomy places the organism in Eukaryota, Metazoa, Chordata, Actinopteri, Cypriniformes, Cyprinidae.